Hordeum vulgare subsp. vulgare (domesticated barley) is the source of this 869-nucleotide long non-coding RNA. RefSeq lists it as uncharacterized. Lineage: Eukaryota; Viridiplantae; Streptophyta; Magnoliopsida; Poales; Poaceae. The record is from RefSeq and is a predicted model, not a curated record. The transcript is spliced from 4 exons.
AUCCCACCAUACAUCCAUCCAUCUCUCCAUCUCAGAUCCUGCACCUGCAGCCCUAGCUCAGACUCCUCCCUCGUCCCCAUCUUCACACCGCCGCCGCCACCUCCUCCCUGUCCCCGCCAGAUCUGCGCCCACACCCCGUCGGCGGUCUCCCCCUCCGACCCCUUCUCCCCCUCCGACCCUUCUCCCCCACCCUUCUUCACCCCUCCUCUUUUCUCCACCAACACACCACAGGUUCGAGGGGAGCUCGCCUCGCCGUCAGGAGCAUGAAGGUCUCCGUCAUGUCCCGGAGCGGCCGCGAGGUCGUCAAGGGCGGCAUCGAGCUCAAGGACUCGGCUGCGGCUCCCCGUGGUGCUCCUCUCAUGCUCCCUCUUCUUCCUCGCCGGCUUCCUCGGCUCCCUCCUCUUCACCCAGCAACGACUCACGCGGCCGCCCCGCAGAUUCGUUUCGUCGCCCGCGCGCGGGUGGGCCUCUGAUCUGGGGUGGUUCUGGUGGUUGUUUCGGUGGCAGGAUCCGCAGGGCGAGGAGGACCCGGAGCGGCCGCUGCGGAGGUAGCGGGUGAUGGAGGCCGUCUUGCCGGAGAUGUCGUACGGGGAGUCCGGCGACCCCGCGCCCUCCUUGAUCCCUUACCAGAUUUGGAAGCUGUUCAAUGGGUUCAGGUUCAGGUUCAGUUGGAAGCUGUUCUUUGGGGUAUCGGGACAGCACUUGGAGCUCUAGGCCUAUGCAAUUUGAAGUUUGAAGCACUUGAAACCAAGAGCAAAGCAGUGAAGCCCUAGUCAACAAAGAUAUGUUUGAUCAGUUUAACUAUAGUACAAUGUAAAUUGUAAUAUUGUAACAGAUUAUAAUAUAUUAAUUUAAUGUUAUUUGAUGAA